ACCGCCACACCCAGCUAAUUUUUGUAUUUUUAGUAGAGAUGGGGUUUCACCAUGUUGGCAGGCUGGUCUUGAACUGACCUCAAGGCCCGCCUCAGUCUCCCAAAGUGCUGGGAUUACACACUUGAGCCACCAUACCCAGCUGAGACCUAUUUAUUUAGGUCUUGAAUUUCUUUCAACAGUUUUGUAGUUUUCAAUCUACAAGUGUUCGCAGAUUUGAAAAUUUAUUAUUAAAAUGGUAAUACUUCCCAGAGCAACCUAUAGAUUCCAUACAAUUCCUAUUAAAAUUCCAUUAUCCUUUUUUUUGCAGAAAUGGCCAAGAAAAAUUCAUAAGGAAUUGCGAAAGAUCGUGAAUAGCAAAAACAAUCUUGAAAAAGCUACAGUAAUCAAGACAAUGUGAUAAUGACAUAGGAUAGACAUAGAAAUCAAUGGGAUAGAAUUGAGAGUCUGGAUAUAAACCCAAGCAAAUAUGGUCAAUUGGUUUUCAACAAGGGUGCCAAGACCAUUCAAUGGGGGAAAAAUAGUCUUUUCAACAAACGGUGCUGGGACAACUUAGAUAUCCACAUGCAAAGUAAUAAAUUAGGAACACUGUCUCAUACUGUAGGUAAAAAUUAAAAUGGACCAAAGACCUAAAUGUAAGCUAAAACUAAAAAGCUCUUAGAGCAUAAGGAGAAAUCUUUGUGACCUUGGAUUAAGCAACAGUUUCUUAAAUAUGACACCAAUGCACAAGCAAGCAAAAGAAAUAAGUUGGUCUUUGUCAAAAUUUAAAACUCUUGGCUAGGUGUGGUGGCUCACACCUGUAAUUCCAGCACUUUGGGAGCCAGAGGCAGGUAGAUCAUCUGAGGUCAGGAGUUUGAGACCAGCCUGGCCAACAUGGUGAAACCCAUCUCUACCAAAAAUAUGAAAAAUUAGCCAGGUGUGGUGGCAUUUGCCUGUAAUUCCAGCUACUCGGGAGGCUGAGGCCUGAGACUGACUAAAAAAUCUCGGCAAAGAUGUGGACAAAUAAAAAUCCUCACACACUGCUAGUGCAAACAUAAAGUGGCACAGCUGCUUUGGAAAAGCUUGGCAGUUCCUCAAGUAGUUAAACGUAAGAGUUAUCAGGACCUAGCAAUUCCGCUACUAGGUGUAUAACCAAGAGAAUGAAAAAGAAGUGUUCACACAAAAACUUGUACAUGCAUAUUGAUAGCAACAAUAUUUAUAAUAGCCAAGAAGUAGAAGCACUCCAAACGUCCAUCAACUGAUAAACGGAUAAACAAAAUGUGGUUUAUUCCUGUUAGAUAUGUUAACUAUCUUGACUGUGGUAAUAAUUUUAUUGAUACAUAUAUAUAUGUCACGCUUUAUCGAAUUGUGUAUUUUAAAUAUCUGUGGUUUAUUGCAUGCCAAUCAUAACUCAAGCUGUAAAAACAGAAAGUA
Molecule: long non-coding RNA, 1410 nt
Organism: Symphalangus syndactylus (siamang)
Lineage: Eukaryota; Metazoa; Chordata; Mammalia; Primates; Hylobatidae
Source: RefSeq, a predicted model, not a curated record